CGUAAUACGGAGGGUGCAAGCGUUACUCGGAAUCACUGGGCGUAAAGGACGCGUAGGCGGGAUGUCAAGUCAGAUGUGAAAUCCAAUGGCUCAACCAUUGAACUGCAUUUGAAACUGGCAACCUAGAGUAUGGGAGGGGGAGAUGGAAUUAGUGGUGUAGGGGUAAAAUCCGUAGAUAUCACUAGGAAUACCGAAAGCGAAGGCGAUCUCCUGGAACAUAACUGACGCUAAGGCGUGAAAGCGUGGGGAGCAAACAGGAUUAGAUACCCUGGUAGUCCACGCCCUAAACGAUGAACACUAGU
Molecule: ribosomal RNA, 302 nt
Filed under: uncultured Campylobacterota bacterium
Lineage: Bacteria; Pseudomonadati; Campylobacterota
Description: bacterial SSU rRNA
Rfam family: Bacterial small subunit ribosomal RNA
Source: RNAcentral